UGGGGAAUAUUGGACAAUGGGGGCAACCCUGAUCCAGCAAUGCCGCGUGUGUGAAGAAGGCCUUCGGGUUGUAAAGCACUUUUAUCGGGAACGAAACAUUGUCGGCCAAUACCCGGCAAGACUGACGGUAGCCGAGGAAUAAGCACCGGCUACCUCCGUGCCAGCAGCCGCGGUAAUACGGAGGGUGCGAGCGUUGUCCGGAAUCAUUGGGCGUAAAGGGCGCGUAGGUGGCCCGGUCAGUCUUUGGUGAAAGCGCGGGGCUCAACCCUGCGUCGGCCAGGGAUACUGCCGCGGCUGGAGCACUGUAGAGGCAGGCGGAAUUCCGGGUGUAGCGGUGGAAUGCGUAGAGAUCCGGAAGAACACCGGUGGCGAAGGCGGCCUGCUGGGCAGUUGCUGACACUGAGGCGCGACAGCGUGGGGAGCAAAC
This 427-nucleotide ribosomal RNA is filed under the name uncultured bacterium. RNAcentral's name for it is "bacterial SSU rRNA". It matches the Rfam family "Bacterial small subunit ribosomal RNA", at positions 355 to 773 of the family's 1533-position model. The record is from RNAcentral.